Molecule: long non-coding RNA, 446 nt
Organism: Myotis myotis
Lineage: Eukaryota; Metazoa; Chordata; Mammalia; Chiroptera; Vespertilionidae
Exons: 2
Source: RefSeq, a predicted model, not a curated record
GCAGGCUCUCUCUGCCUGUCCCUCUGGAGGGCAGGCACCACACCCAGCCCAAGCUUUUAAUCUGUUUUAUGUCUAUCUUUCAUUUAUUUCUUCAAUCCCGAUAGCGCCUCCUAGAUUGUAGGAACUGGUUCAAGUCUCCUUCUCCGUGCGGGCGUGGGAAGAAGACAGCCCCAGAUGGCAUGAUUGUCUCUAUGGAAAACACCCAGGGGUCUGCCAGAACUGAUAGCGAGCGAAUUUGGUAAGACUGCAGGAUAUAAGGCCAACAUACAAAACUCAGCUGUCUUACUCUAUGCUGGCAAUGAACAAUAGGAAAUAAAAAAAAUUAAAAAGAGUACAAUAACAAUAAUAUUCCCCCCGCCAGCCAAAAAAAAAAAAACAAACAUGAAAAACUUUGGUAUAUAUCCAACACCUGUGCAAGAUCUGAAUGCUGAAAACUAUAAAACGAG